Molecule: ribosomal RNA, 354 nt
Filed under: uncultured Anaerolineaceae bacterium
Lineage: Bacteria; Bacillati; Chloroflexota; Anaerolineae; Anaerolineales; Anaerolineaceae
Description: bacterial SSU rRNA
Rfam family: Bacterial small subunit ribosomal RNA
Source: RNAcentral
CCGACCUUCGGGGAGCCUAUACAGGUGUUGCAUGGCUGUCGUCAGCUCGUGUCGUGAGAUGUUCGGUUAAGUCCGCUAACGAGCGCAACCCUCGUCGUAUGUUAUAUGUGUCAUACGAGACUGCCGGUAAAAAGCCGGAGGAAGGUGAGGAUGAUGUCAAGUCAGCAUGACCUUUAUAUCCAGGGCUACACACACGCUACAAUGGUCUGUACAAUGGGUAGCCAAGCCGCGAGGCGGAGCCAAUCCUGAAAGCAGGCCUCAGUUCAGAUUGCAGUCUGCAACUCGACUGCAUGAAGCCGGAGUUGCUAGUAACCGCAGGUCAGCAAUACUGCGGUGAAUACGUUCCCGGGUCUU